Molecule: ribosomal RNA, 497 nt
Filed under: uncultured bacterium
Lineage: Bacteria
Description: partial 16S ribosomal RNA
Rfam family: Bacterial small subunit ribosomal RNA
Source: RNAcentral
GACGAACGCUGGCGGCGUGCCUAAUACAUGCAAGUUGAGCGCUGAAGGUUGGUACUUGUACCAACUGGAUGAGCAGCGAACGGGUGAGUAACGCGUGGGGAAUCUGCCUUUGAGCGGGGGACAACAUUUGGAAACGAAUGCUAAUACCGCAUAAAAACUUUAAACACAAGUUUUAAGUUUAAAAGAUGCAAUUGCAUCACUCAAAGAUGAUCCCGCGUUGUAUUAGCUAGUUGGUGAGGUAAAGGCUCACCAAGGCGAUGAUACAUAGCCGACCUGAGAGGGUGAUCGGCCACAUUGGGACUGAGACACGGCCCAAACUCCUACGGGAGGCAGCAGUAGGGAAUCUUCGGCAAUGGACGAAAGUCUGACCGAGCAACGCCGCGUGAGUGAAGAAGGUUUUCGGAUCGUAAAACUCUGUUGGUAGAGAAGAACGUUGGUGAGAGUGGAAAGCUCAUCAAGUGACGGUAACUACCCAGAAAGGGACGGCUAACUACGUG